CAAAAUCGUAACGGUCGAACGAAAGCCAUCAUCACAGCCUCCAAACAGAUAGCCGUUUAUUCCCGUCUUUUCUACGCGUAAUUAACCUUUUUUAAGGAUUUGAUGGCAGAAAAUGGAUUGAAGUAAAAGGACAUUAUGAUAGAGAUAGUAAAAUGUGCUCGAGUUGCAAAGCCAGAAAAGAAAGAAGUUUGAGGUAUAAGGAAUGUAUCAAUGCUUAUAGUUAUUCACUAAUCACUGUACUUACAUCUAAAGCGCCUAUGCUUUAUAAACUGUUACUUGAAGCACAAAAUUGAAUAACUUAGCUUAGUAAAAACCUAGUAAUCAGUCUUGCACCUAAAA
Nematostella vectensis (starlet sea anemone) is the source of this 339-nucleotide long non-coding RNA. RefSeq lists it as uncharacterized. The record is from RefSeq and is a predicted model, not a curated record. The transcript has 2 exons. Lineage: Eukaryota; Metazoa; Cnidaria; Anthozoa; Actiniaria; Edwardsiidae.